RNAcentral lists this ribosomal RNA (448 nucleotides) under uncultured bacterium. RNAcentral describes it as "bacterial SSU rRNA". It matches the Rfam family "Bacterial small subunit ribosomal RNA", at positions 330 to 794 of the family's 1533-position model. The record is from RNAcentral.
UCCAGACUCCUACGGGAGGCAGCAGUGGGGGAUAUUGCACAAUGGGGGGAACCCUGAUGCAGCGACGCCGCGUGGGUGAAGGAGCGUUUCGGCGCGUAAAGCCCUAUCGGCAGGGAAGAAGGAGGACGGUACCUGACUAAGAAGCCCCGGCUAACUACGUGCCAGCAGCCGCGGUAAUACGUAGGGGGCAAGCGUUAUCCGGAUUUACUGGGUGUAAAGGGGGCGCAGACGGCAGCGCAAGCCAGGAGUGAAAGCCCGGGGCCCAACCCCGGGACUGCUCUUGGAACUGCGCGGCUGGAGUGCAGGAGGGGCAGGCGGAAUUCCUGGUGUAGCGGUGAAAUGCGUAGAUAUCAGGAGGAACACCGGCGGCGAAGGCGGCCUGCUGGACCGUAACUGACGUUGAGGCCCGAAAGCGUGGGGAGCAAACAGGAUUAGAUACCCUCGUAAA